This 596-nucleotide ribosomal RNA is filed under the name uncultured fungus. RNAcentral's name for it is "eukaryotic LSU rRNA". The stretch from base 213 to 366 matches the Rfam family "5.8S ribosomal RNA". The record is from RNAcentral. Lineage: Eukaryota; Fungi.
AAGUCGUAACAAGGUUUCCGUAGGUGAACCUGCGGAAGGAUCAUUAUUGAAAUAAACCCGAUGGGUUGUUGCUGGUUCUCUAGGGAGCAUGUGCACGCCUUGUCGUCUUUAUAUCUCCACCUGUGCACCUUUUGUAGACCUUUCAGGUCUAUGUUGCUUCUUCAUUUACCCCAAUGUAUGUUAAUAGAAUGUUGUGCCUAUAAAAACUAUACAACUUUCAGCAACGGAUCUCUUGGCUCUCGCAUCGAUGAAGAACGCAGCGAAAUGCGAUAAGUAAUGUGAAUUGCAGAAUUCAGUGAAUCAUCGAAUCUUUGAACGCACCUUGCGCUCCUUGGUAUUCCGAGGAGCAUGCCUGUUUGAGUGUCAUUAAUAUAUAUCAACCUCUCUUGUUGAGUUGGUUUGGAUGUGGGGUUUGCUGGCCUCUUUUUAAAGAGGUUCAGCUUCCCUGAAAUACAUUAGCAGAACAAACCUGUUCAUUGGUGUGAUAACUAUCUACGCUAUUGAAUGUGAGGGGCAGUUCAGCUUUCUAGCAGUCUUUUGGACAAAUCUAUCACUUAUGUGACCUCAAAUCAGGUAGGACUACCCGCUGAACUUAA